Molecule: ribosomal RNA, 222 nt
Filed under: uncultured bacterium
Lineage: Bacteria
Description: partial 16S ribosomal RNA
Rfam family: Bacterial small subunit ribosomal RNA
Source: RNAcentral
AGUAAUACAUCGGAACGUGUCUUCUAGUGGGGGAUAACUGCCCGAAAGGGCAGCUAAUACCGCAUGAGACCUGAGGGUGAAAGCGGGGGAUCGCAAGACCUCGCGCUGGAAGAGCGGCCGAUGUCCGAUUAGCUAGUUGGUGAGGUAAAGGCUCACCAAGGCGACGAUCGGUAGCUGGUCUGAGAGGACGGCCAGCCACACUGGGACUGAGACACGGCCCAG